This 3221-nucleotide ribosomal RNA is filed under the name Actinomyces ruminicola. RNAcentral describes it as "bacterial LSU rRNA". It matches the Rfam family "Bacterial large subunit ribosomal RNA". The record is from RNAcentral. Lineage: Bacteria; Bacillati; Actinomycetota; Actinomycetes; Actinomycetales; Actinomycetaceae.
UUUUUUGGGCGUUCGGUGGAUGCCUUGGCACCAGGGGCCGAUGAAGGACGUGGCGGCCUGCGAUAUGCCUCGGGGAGCCGGCUUGCGGGCUGUGAUCCGAGGGUUUCCGAAUGGGGGUACCCGGCGCGGGUUGUGCCGUGUCACCCGUCCUUGAAUUGAUAGGGGGCGGGGGGUUACGCGGGGAAGUGAAACAUCUCAGUACCCGUAGGAGAGGAUAUUCCGUUAGUAGUGGCGAGCGAACGCGGAGGAGGUUAAACCGUGGUCGUGUGAUUACUCGGCAGGGGUUGCGGCUGCGGGGUUGUGGGGCGUGCCUGUGGGUUUGCUGCCGUGGGCCCGCGUGCUUGCUGGUGGGUAGCCGGAUCCUUUGGGAAGGGGAGCCGUAGAGGGUGAUAGCCCCGUAGGUUGAACCUGCUGGUUGUGCGUGGGGUGCGUUCCCUUUUGUAGCGUGGGGUUCGUGGAGUCCUGCGUGAGUCUGCCAGGACCACCUGGCUGCCUAAAUACUUCCUGGUGACCGAUAGCGGAUUAGUACCGUGAGGGAAUGGUGAAAAGUACCCCGGGAGGGGAGUGAAAGAGUACCUGAAACCGGGCGCCUGCAAGCCGUCAGAGCCUGUUUGUUCCUGCUUUUUGUGGGGGCGGGUGGGUGGUGGCGUGCCUUUUGAAGAAUGAGCCUGCGAGUCAGGGCGUGUCGCGAGGUUAACCUGUUGUGGGGUAGUCGUAGCGAAAGCGAGUCCGAAGUUUGGGCGGUUUAGUGGCGCGUUCUGGACCCGAAGCGGGGUGAUCUACCCAUGGCCAGGUUGAGGCACGUGUAAGAGCGUGUGGAGGACCGAACCCACCUCGGUUGAAAACGGGGGGGAUGAGCUGUGGGUAGGGGUGAAAGGCCAAUCAAACUCCGUGAUAGCUGGUUCUCCCCGAAAUGCAUUUAGGUGCAGCGUCGCGUGUUGCCGUGCGGAGGUAGAGCACUGGUUGGUUGAGGGGCCUUACAGGGUUACUGAUGCCAGUCAAACUCCGAAUGCCGUGUCGGUUCUAGCGUGGCAGUGAGACUGCGGGGGAUAAGCUUCGUAGUCGAGAGGGAAACAGCCCAGAUCGUCGGCUAAGGCCCCUAAGAGUACGCUAAGUGGGAAAGGAUGUGCGGUCGCGGUGACAGCCAGGAGGUUGGCUCAGAAGCAGCCAUCCUUGAAAGAGUGCGUAAUAGCUCACUGGUCGAGUGGUCGUGCGCCGACAAUGUAGCGGGGCUCAAGCGUACCGCCGAAGCCGCGGAUCCCGGCCCCCCUUUUUUUUGGGUGGUCGGGGUGGUAGGGGAGCGUCCUGCGUUGGGUGAAGCCCGGGGGUGACCUGCGGGUGGACGGCGUGGGAGUGAGAAUGCAGGCAUGAGUAGCGAGACCGGGGUGGGAUUCCCCGGCGCCGUAUGACCAAGGGUUCCAGGGGCAGGUUCGUCCUCCCUGGGUGAGUCGGGGCCUAAGGCGAGGCCGACAGGCGUAGUCGAUGGAUGACGGGUUGAUAUUCCCGUACCGGUAGGACACCGUCCAUGCUGACGCGCGGGUGCUAACCCACGCCGCUGCCGCCCGUUCGCGGGUGCGGCCCGUCCGGUCUUCGGGCCGGGGGUCGUGCCUGUGGGUGGGGGCGGUCUGGGGAUCCUCCGUGCUGGUAGGCAAGCGUGUUAACAGGGGUGACGCACAGAGGUAGCCCGGCGGGGCUUGUGGCUUGUCCCGUUCAAGCGUGUGGCCCGGCGCCCAGGUAAAUCCGGGCGCCACACCCUCUUGGCCGUGGUUUCACGGGCGGGGGGGUUGGGUGAGGCGUGAUGGUGACCCCGCCCGUUGGGGCGGGGGAUAGCAGGGUGAUCCUGGGGUGCCUAGAAAAGCCUCGACGCGAGGUGUUCUACCGCCCGUACCCGAAACCGACACAGGUGGUCGGGCAGAGUAUGCCCAGGCGGGCGAGUGAAUCAUGGUUAAGGAACUCGGCAAAAUGCCCCCGUAACUUCGGGAGAAGGGGGGCCCGGGCCCUGAAGCCCCUUUUUUUGCGGGCUAGGGGUGAGGGCCGCAGUGACCAGGGAGGAGCGACUGUUUACUAAAAACACAGGUCCGUGCGAAGCCGUAAGGCGAUGUAUACGGACUGACGCCUGCCCGGUGCUGGAAGGUUAAGAGGAUCCGUCAGUCCCACGCUCUUGUGGGGUGAAGCGGUGAGCCCAAGCCCCAGUAAACGGCGGUGGUAACUAUAACCAUCCUAAGGUAGCGAAAUUCCUUGUCGGGUAAGUUCCGACCUGCACGAAUGGCGUAACGACUCCUCUACUGUCUCAACCAUGAGCUCGGCGAAAUUGCAUUACGAGUAAAGAUGCUCGUUACGCGCAGAAGGACGGAAAGACCCCGGGACCUUUACUAUAGCUUGGUAUUGACGUCCGCCAUGGCUUGUGCAGGAUAGGUGGGAGACUGUGAGGCCGGCACGCUAGUGCUGGUGGAGUCGUUGUUGGGAUACCACUCUGGCUGUGGCGUGCGUCUGAACCUCGGCCCGUGAUCCGGGUCAGGGACAGUGCCUGGUGGGUAGUUUAACUGGGGCGGUUGCCUCCUAAAGAGUAACGGAGGCGCUCAAAGGUUCUCUCAGCCUGGUCGGCAACCAGGUGUUGAGUGCAAGCGCACAAGAGGGCCUGACUGUGAGACCGACGGGUCGAGCAGGCACGAAAGUGGGAGCUAGUGAUCCGGCGAUCCCGUGUGGGUGGGUCGUCGCUCAACGGAUAAAAGGUACCCCGGGGAUAACAGGCUGAUCCUGCCCAAGAGUCCAUAUCGACGGCAUGGUUUGGCACCUCGAUGUCGGCUCGUCGCAUCCUGGGGCUGGAGCAGGUCCCAAGGGUUGGGCUGUUCGCCCAUUAAAGCGGUACGCGAGCUGGGUUUAGAACGUCGUGAGACAGUUCGGUCCCUAUCCUCUGCGCGCGCAGGAGACUUGAGGAGGCCUGUCCCUAGUACGAGAGGACCGGGACGGACGAACCUCUGGUGCGCCAGUUGUCCCGCCAGGGGCACGGCUGGUUGGCUACGUUCGGGCCGGGUAACCGCUGAAAGCAUCUAAGCGGGAAACCGACUCCAAGAUAAGGUCUCCGCAAGCCGUCCCCGUCCGCGGGGGUGGUUUGGAAGGCUCCCAGCAGACUACUGGGUAGAUAGGCCAGAUGUGGAAGCAGGCAGCCCCACCAGGGGGUCAACCUGCUGAUGAGCUGACUGGUACUAACAACAGCCGAA